This 491-nucleotide ribosomal RNA is filed under the name uncultured bacterium. RNAcentral describes it as "partial 16S ribosomal RNA". It matches the Rfam family "Bacterial small subunit ribosomal RNA", at positions 28 to 507 of the family's 1533-position model. The record is from RNAcentral.
GAUGAACGCUGGCUACAGGCUUAACACAUGCAAGUCGAGGGGAAACGCCGGGGAAGCUUGCUUCCCCGGGCGUCGACCGGCGCACGGGUGAGUAACGCGUAUCCAACCUGCCUCUGACUGAGGGAUAACCCGUCGAAAGUCGGCCUAAUACCUCAUGGCAUCGUCUGCGGGCAUCCAACGACGAUUAAAGAUUUCAUCGGUCAGAGAUGGGGAUGCGUCUGAUUAGCUUGUUGGCGGGGUAACGGCCCACCAAGGCGACGAUCAGUAGGGGUUCUGAGAGGAAGGUCCCCCACAUUGGAACUGAGACACGGUCCAAACUCCUACGGGAGGCAGCAGUGAGGAAUAUUGGUCAAUGGGCGAGAGCCUGAACCAGCCAAGUAGCGUGCAGGAGGACGGCCCUAUGGGUUGUAAACUGCUUUUAUGCGGGGAGAAAGUGAGGGACGUGUCCUUCAUUGCAGGUACCGCAUGAAUAAGAACCGGCUAAUUCCGUG